GAUGAACGCUGGCGGCGUGCCUAAUACAUGCAAGUCGAGCGAACAGACGAGGAGCUUGCUCCUCUGACGUUAGCGGCGGACGGGUGAGUAACACGUGGAUAACCUACCUAUAAGACUGGGACAACUUCGGGAAACCGGAGCUAAUACCGGAUAAUAUAUUGAACCGCAUGGUUCAAUAGUGAAAGACGGUUUUGCUGUCACUUAUAGAUGGAUCCGCGCCGCAUUAGCUAGUUGGUAAGGUAACGGCUUACCAAGGCAACGAUGCGUAGCCGACCUGAGAGGGUGAUCGGCCACACUGGAACUGAGACACGGUCCAGACUCCUACGGGAGGCAGCAGUAGGGAAUCUUCCGCAAUGGGCGAAAGCCUGACGGAGCAACGCCGCGUGAGUGAUGAAGGUCUUCGGAUUGUAAAACUCUGUUAUUAGGGAAGAACAAAUGUGUAAGUAACUAUGCACGUCUUGACGGUACCUAAUCAGAAAGCCACGGCUAACUACGUG
Molecule: ribosomal RNA, 497 nt
Filed under: uncultured bacterium
Lineage: Bacteria
Description: partial 16S ribosomal RNA
Rfam family: Bacterial small subunit ribosomal RNA
Source: RNAcentral